CAUGCGCGGAGUACGAAACCUUCCGAUGAUCACUCGGAAUACGUCAUCAUACUCUACUUCUCCAAUAUGAAAGUAAACACGACAGCUCCGCUUCGGCGUGUUGUUUUUGUGUUGUUUGCAAUCCAAAUCAGUGCUGGAAUGAUGAAUGGGGAUGCUCCCAGUGUUGAUUCAGUGCAGCCUAGAUUUAACAUCCAAUCUGUUCCGUGAAGUAAUUUGCUGCAUCCUGAAUUGACCAAAGACCAGGUUAAUGAUUUAUUUGGUAGCAUUCUCAACAAUGAGGCACAAUUGCUUGUGGUGGAUCAGUUUGAAAUGGAAAUCAACAGACAAAAUGACUAUCUCAUACAAUAAGGUUUAUAUAGACAGCCAAUUAUUGGGGAUAGGAAUUGUUUAUUUAGGGCUGUAAGUAAUGCUCUUUUUGGAAAUCAGGAUCACCACCUUGAAUUAAGACUCUCAGCAGUAAAUGAAAUUGAACAAAAUUUGGAUCAUUUUUGUAUGUAUUUUCACAAUGACAACAAUAAUUUACCAAUGAAUGAGUUUGAAAUACAUAGGGAACUAAAUCAAUUAAGACAAUUAGGCACUUUUGCAGGUCAAGAAAGUAGUUUAGCUCUGUCUUGGCUUUUCAACAUAAACAUUCUGGUAACUGUUGGUGGUGAUGUUGAAAAUCCAAAUGUAGUGACUCUUGAACAUAAUUUUCGUAAUUCCGAAUCUCAAAUUCAUUUAGUAUGGACAAGAGGAAGGGGAGGGCAUUAUGAAACUGUAUCUGAAAAUCCAAUUAUAAAGAAAAGUAGUAAACAAGACCUUCAAAAUUCAACUUUCACCAAGAGUAAAUACAAUUGGAAAGAAAAUAGUUGUACCAGACAAUCUGACUUAAACAACAUACUAAAUUCAAAGACCAGACAAACUGACAGUUACAUAAAGGAGCACCAUUCCUAUGGGAAACGAGAAGAGUCUGACAUAAAGCCUGCAAAUAAAAGAAAUUGUGUUUUUGCCUGGUAAUAAAAAUUCAUACACUGAAGAUCCUUGAGUUCAAGUUUAUAGAUAACCAUGUGCUCAGACGGACUUGUGGUCACCUCCAGACUUUGUUGUUAUCUCCUUUGUGGGCGGCAAGGUAUGGAAGGUGGACCAAAACUUGAUCGAAACUACCCUUUGCUCAGAUGGACUAUUUUAACUGAUCCACUGAAUAGUGAUAACCAUUGUUUGUUAUGUUAUUACAGUUAUAAUGUUUGUUUUGUAAUUAUAUUCUCCAAAGAUAGUUUUUAUUUGUUAUUAAUUUUUACUAACUCUCUGUUUUUGUUUAUAUUGUUAAUUAUUUAACAAAGAACUAGUAAUUAGAAUAUUGAUAACUUUAUCUUAAUAUUUUUUAUAACAAAUUCACAAUUUCAGAAUCUAGUAACAUUGACUUAACCCUGGUAUGUUAAAUUUGAAUCAAAGUACUGAAGUACUGAAGGGAGUUGAUUUUAUCGAUUAUCAUUUAUUUUAAAAUCAACUUAUUUUGCAUGGCAAUUAGUUUCUAGUCUGUAUUU
Long non-coding RNA from Magallana angulata, 1523 nucleotides. RefSeq lists it as uncharacterized. Lineage: Eukaryota; Metazoa; Mollusca; Bivalvia; Ostreida; Ostreidae. The transcript has 4 exons. The record is from RefSeq and is a predicted model, not a curated record.